This is a long non-coding RNA of Solanum dulcamara, 264 nucleotides long. RefSeq lists it as uncharacterized. The record is from RefSeq and is a predicted model, not a curated record. Lineage: Eukaryota; Viridiplantae; Streptophyta; Magnoliopsida; Solanales; Solanaceae. The transcript has 2 exons.
AAAACAACCGCCGCAUUACUCUUCCUCUAAGAGGAGAUUUUUAUUUUUACACUUGAGAAAUCUUUAGUUGUACACAUAAGAAAUCUGAAAAGACAUUUUAUCUAUUCAUUUUGUAAGUGGCCAAGAGAUCUUAAUUCAUAUUCCCGGACCCUACGCAUAGCGAAAGCUUUAGUGCACUGGAUUACCCUUUAUUGAUGAAAAAUGUGAUCAUCAGAAGAUGAACAAAUUUAUUCAUUACAAUGGCAAUUAUUCUUUUUCAUGUAA